RNAcentral lists this ribosomal RNA (253 nucleotides) under uncultured bacterium. Its description in RNAcentral is "partial 16S ribosomal RNA". It matches the Rfam family "Bacterial small subunit ribosomal RNA", at positions 524 to 776 of the family's 1533-position model. The record is from RNAcentral.
UACAGAGGUCUCAAGCGUUGUUCGGAUUCAUUGGGCGUAAAGGGUGCGUAGGCGGCGCGGUAAGUCGGAUGUGAAAUCUCGGAGCUUAACUUCGAAACUGCAUUCGAUACUGCCGUGCUUGAGGACUGGAGAGGAGACUGGAAUUUACGGUGUAGCGGUGAAAUGCGUAGAUAUCGGGAGGAACACCAGUGGCGAAGGCGACUACCUGGCCUGUUCUUGACGCUGAGGCGCGAAAGCUAGGGUAGCAAACGGG